RNAcentral lists this ribosomal RNA (254 nucleotides) under uncultured bacterium. Its description in RNAcentral is "partial 16S ribosomal RNA". It matches the Rfam family "Bacterial small subunit ribosomal RNA", at positions 524 to 776 of the family's 1533-position model. The record is from RNAcentral.
UACGUAGGGUGCGAGCGUUAAUCGGAAUUACUGGGCGUAAAGGGCGCGUAGGCGGUCAGCACAAGUCAGUUGUGAAAUCUCCGGGCUUAACUCGGAAAGGUCAACUGAUACUGUGCGACUAGAGUGCAGAAGGGGCAACUGGAAUUCUCGGUGUAGCGGUGAAAUGCGCAGAUAUCAGGAGGAACACCGGUGGCGAAGGCGGUUCUCUGGGCAUGUCCUGACGCUGAGGAGCGAAAGUGUGGGGAGCGAACAGG